RNAcentral lists this ribosomal RNA (408 nucleotides) under uncultured bacterium. Its description in RNAcentral is "bacterial SSU rRNA". It matches the Rfam family "Bacterial small subunit ribosomal RNA", at positions 157 to 560 of the family's 1533-position model. The record is from RNAcentral.
GUUACGCUAAUACCGCAUAUUCUGUGAGCAGGAAAGCAGGGGGAUCGCAAGACCUUGCGCUGAUUGAGCGGCCGAUAUCAGAUUAGCUAGUUGGUGGGUAAAGGCCUACCAAGGCGACGAUCUAUAGCGGGUCUGAGAGGAUGAUCCGCCACACUGGAACUGAGACACGGUCCAGACUCCUACGGGAGGCAGCAGUGGGGAAUUUUGGACAAUGGGGGCAACCCUGAUCCAGCCAUGCCGCGUGAGUGAAGAAGGCCUUCGGGUUGUAAAGCUCUUUCGGCCGGGACGAAAUCGCACGGGCUAAUAUCCUGUGUGGAUGACGGUACCGGAAUAAGAAGCACCGGCUAACUACGUGCCAGCAGCCGCGGUAAUACGUAGGGUUCGAGCGUUAAUCGGAAUUACUGGGCA